RNAcentral lists this ribosomal RNA (486 nucleotides) under uncultured bacterium. RNAcentral's name for it is "partial 16S ribosomal RNA". It matches the Rfam family "Bacterial small subunit ribosomal RNA", at positions 30 to 507 of the family's 1533-position model. The record is from RNAcentral.
AUUGAACGCUGGCGGCAUGCCUUACACAUGCAAGUCGAACGGCAGCACGGGUGUCUGCCCCUGGUGGCGAGUGGCGAACGGGUGAGUAAUACAUCGGAACAUGUCCUGUAGUGGGGGUUAGCCCGGCGAAAGCCGGAUUAAUACCGCAUACGAUCCACGGAUGAAAGCGGGGGACCUUCGGGCCUCGCGCUAUAGGGUUGGCUGAUGGCUGAUUAGCUAGUUGGUGGGGUAAAGGCCUACCAAGGCGACGAUCAGUAGCUGGUCUGAGAGGACGACCAGCCACACUGGGACUGAGACACGGACCAGACUCCUGCGGGAGGCAGCAGUGGGGAAUGUUGGACAGUGGGCGAAAGCCUGAUCCAGCAAUGCCGCGUGUGUGAAGAAGGCCUUCGGGUUGUAAAGCACUUUUGUCCGGAAAGAAAUCCUUGACUCUAAUACAGUCGGGGGAUGACGGUACCGGAAGAAUAAGCACCGGCUAACUACGUG